Cricetulus griseus (Chinese hamster) is the source of this 1374-nucleotide non-coding RNA. Lineage: Eukaryota; Metazoa; Chordata; Mammalia; Rodentia; Cricetidae. The record is from RefSeq and is a predicted model, not a curated record.
UCCACCAAUAGGAAGGCAGCUAAAUGUUGCCUGGGGCACUCAUGCAAAAAAGGGAACUGCACGAAAGAGGCCACAAGUAAAAUCAUGUCCAUUGCAUUUACAGCGGGCAGCAUUCUUCACAACCACCAAAGGGAGAAGAAAUCACUGACGACGGACAGACGGACAAAACAUGGCAGACACAGACAGUAGGAUGUGAUCCAGUCUUACAAAGAAAGAAAAUUCUGACACAUACCAGACUGGUAAAACCUUGAGGCCAUUACACUAAAUACAGUAAGAUAGACACAAAUGUACUUUGUUAUUCCAACUGUAAGGGGUACCCAGAAUACACAGACUCACAGAAAUGGAAGGAAGGUAGACAGAUGGCUGCCAGGACUGAGGAAGGAGGGAAUGAGGAGUAGUUAUUUAAUGAGAAACAAAUGAAUCUAGAGCUUCAGGAUGAAAGGAUGGGAAAGCCAGCAAAUUGGAUGAUGGUGAUGGCUACUGUCAAUGUACUUUACACCACUGUGUUCUUUAAAAAAAAAAAAAAAUGUUACAAGAGAGGCAGGCCACUGUUGAUCUCUGACUGCCACCCAAUGCCCUCCUCCAGCUUCCUCUAAGAUUUAUUACCGCGGGCUGGAGAGAUGGCUCAGCCGUUAAAGGCUAGGCUCACAACCAAAAAUAUAAGAUUUAUUACCGCAUCUCCCCGGACAUGAGAUCCUGUUGCGCCCACACUAAUUCAGCCCCAACUUGUUCAACCACAGUAAGUUAGAAGGUCUUUACCAAGGUGGAGGGACCCUGCCUGGGGUGGGAUCGUCUAGCCAAUUGGAAGCUAUGUCCUUUAUCCAGUUUUGUACAAGAUUUUGUCUCAGUUUAAAAAAAAAAAAUGAUGCAAGGUUGCUGGAGCUGUGGUCACUCAGGUCAACAAGGCUGGAUUCUUUACAGAUACUAGGUCCUCAUCUUGUUCCGUCCCCGCACACUCCACCCCAUCAGGAAUGGAGGUUGAUCACAACUCCGUCCAACUAAGAGCCUGGAUUGGGACACUGUGACCCAGCAGGAGCUGAGAUCUGAGCCUGGACGACACAGUCACAAACACCGGCCCAAGCCAUUCUUUCCCCUGACAUCUGCCAAAGACAACUGGUUGUUUCCAGGAACAACUCCAUUAUUUCUCUGCUCGGAGAGGAAGGUGUGCCAAAUUCUCCGCCAGCCAACUCCACCUAAAAGACACACAGUGACACGUGGUGCCAAUCCUCAGAGAACCAGCAUCUCCAAACUCAACCACCUGUCACUACAGAGCAUCUACAGAGUCAGAGAGCUGACCAAGAGACAGCUCAAGAAAGACAGCUCUUCCCUGACACAGGGGCUCACAAAAAAAAAAAAAAAAAAAAAAAAAAAAAA